Long non-coding RNA from Oreochromis aureus, 1607 nucleotides. RefSeq lists it as uncharacterized. The transcript has 3 exons. The record is from RefSeq and is a predicted model, not a curated record. Lineage: Eukaryota; Metazoa; Chordata; Actinopteri; Cichliformes; Cichlidae.
AGAUCCUUGUUUUCUAUCAAGUAACCUAAAAAAUGACUGAGUGCACCUUUAAAAAUACUAACUGAAAUAAACCAAGAUAACCCAGCAGUCCAUAAUGUGUGCACUAUGUCACUAAAGUUAUUGUCACUGCAAAUGUAAAAGUAGACAUAAAUGAACCAAAGAGGAAGUGACAUGACUUUGAGGACAGAUGUGAUCAGGUGGAAAGUGCAGGAAGCUGACUGAUGUCCAUCUGUGGCUGCAUUAAAUGUUGGCCUGUCCUGUAUCAGCCAUUCAGGAUUUUCUUUGAUGAACAUUUAGCUCUUAUGGCAUGAACUUGCUCAGUGCAUUAUUGUUGGCUUUUCUACAGUCUGAUAUUUGUUUACUAAUUGAUCGAUACAGUGCAUUAAAUAAGUGCAUAAAUAAGAUGUUAAAAACCUCAUCAUCAUAUCAAACAUGAUAGAUUUGUUUGGCACAUGCUGACUGCUUUCUAAUUAGAACAGAACAGGAGGCGAGAGCAGAGAACAAGAGUGCAGCCGUUUGGUGGAAGGUGAAGAAGAGGUGAGCAUCCAAAAGACGAGCAAGAGGACAGUUUCAUAGGAGACAUCACGGCACAAUAAAAGCUAGAAACUCACCUGAUGUAGUGGUAAGGCCAUGUUCACCACUAGAUGGAGACAACCUGGCACAGAGAAAGACUGGACUCAAAAAAUGAUCUUUAUUUUUACAUUUGUGGAAAUGGAGACCCGCCACACGAACACACAAGCUCAGCUCUGAAUUCUUUGCCAGCUGCAUAUAUAUUUCUGCACUGCGUCACACCGACACACAGUUUACUUUUUGUCUGGUUUCCUGUAUUUUAUACGCCUGUGCAGCUCUGCACUAAACCUUCCUGUUCUCUGCAGCAGCAUGCAGUUUCCUGUCAGUACUCUGUGACAUUGUGCUCAAACUGGUGUUCUCCCAGUCUGGCCUCAUUAAAACAAAAUAAACAGAAAAUAAGCAUUAAGAAUAUAUAUUUAUUUCCUAACAAUACACAUGGAAACUUCACACAGACAAACACACACACAAAACAACAAAAUGCUCGUCUCAUUUUGAGAAUUUCACCACUUUUACUUUUCAUGGAAAAUAACUUGUUACAUGACAUCAUUUAAAAUAAGUUUGUCAGUGAGUGGCUGCCACAUAAGUAUAAAUCUAAAUCACACAUGUGGGUAGGGCUGCACAGUCAGUAAAAGUCUCCAAGGCUCUGCAGAGCUCCAAACCUCCUCUGCCACAAACAGAAGCAUCAAAAAUGUGCGCUGGGAGCUUCAUGGAAGGAUUUCUACAGCCAAGCAAAUCUAUAUGUGUGUGGCCAAGAAGCUCAGUCCAUGUAGGGUAUCUCAGCACAGUUUGUGUCAGUCAGGUCAGCUAGUGGGAGGGCAGAGAGGGCAGCCUUUACAGUAUUUUAUUGUAGAGUGACAGGAACUGCCUAUGAGCUUCUAAUCAGGCAGAAGUGUUGACAGAAAACAUAUCAAAGGAAAUACAUUGAUCAAAAGAAGAUAAAUAUUUAUGUGGUGUUCUAUUUUCCUGAGAGCUGAUUGGCUGUGAUGACUCCUUCAAGUACUACAUGAAACUUUGUCCUGCUAGUUAAGCCUGCUGUC